UACGUAGGGUGCGAGCGUUAAUCGGAAUUACUGGGCGUAAAGCGUGCGCAGGCGGUUUUGUAAGCCAGGUGUGAAAUCCCCGGGCUCAACCUGGGAAUGGCAUUUGGGACUGCAAGGCUGGAGUGCGGCAGAGGAGACUGGAAUUCCUGGUGUAGCAGUGAAAUGCGUAGAUAUCAGGGGGAAUACCGAUGGCGAAGGGCAGGUCUCUGGGCUGACACUGACGCUCAUGCACGAAAGCGUGGGGAGCAAACAGG
RNAcentral lists this ribosomal RNA (254 nucleotides) under uncultured bacterium. RNAcentral describes it as "partial 16S ribosomal RNA". It matches the Rfam family "Bacterial small subunit ribosomal RNA", at positions 524 to 776 of the family's 1533-position model. The record is from RNAcentral.